Molecule: ribosomal RNA, 646 nt
Filed under: Grillotia sp. GC-2015
Lineage: Eukaryota; Metazoa; Platyhelminthes; Cestoda; Trypanorhyncha; Lacistorhynchidae
Description: bacterial LSU rRNA
Source: RNAcentral
ACCGCAUAGAGGUAAACGGGUGGCGUCAAGCUGCAAGCCCAGAGGAUUCAGUCGGUCAGGAUGUUGGUAUGCGCCUGGCGCAUCUAUCAGUCGGUAUUAGAUCGGGUAGUCCACCGGGAAACGGUGGGCCCAACCGCAAGGUUGGGAUUUGCGUACCGGGGGGUUGCCGGAGCAUGCUGCCUAUCUGUUGGACUGUCUGGCCGAUGCACUUCCUCUGUUCAGGUGAACACCACGACCGGUGGUACUGCCAGUCUGUUGUGGCCAAGUUGUAUCUAGUCGGCAUUUAUUGUCACCUGGAUGCAAUCACAGGCAAAGUCAGUGUACGGCGUUCAGGCGUUCGCGUUUGUUCGUGUUAUCGGGCACUGCUUGUCAACGGGUCUGUUCGUCGAUUGUUGUAGUCGUCGGCGGAUGACUUGGUGGGCCAUGAUGGUAAGAAUAACUGUGCAGGGCACCGGAGUUCGCGGUCUCUAAUCCGGCUCGCAUACACACUACAAGUGGUGCGGAGCGUUAUUACGGCCUGCCGUGGUUGGGUCCGAUUGCCGUGUCGCCUGCGCAAAGUAGGCCCGGUUUUGGCCUGGCCCUGGUUGGAGUCGUGGAUGGCGUUUCCAGUGUGAGUCGGUGUGGACCAAACAGUCAGUGGUGUAGU